UACGAGGGGUGCAAGCGUUGCUCGGAAUUAUUGGGCGUAAAGGGUAGGUAGGUGGUCUCAUUUGUCUGGGGUGAAAGCCUUGAGCUUAACUCAAGAAGUGCCCCAGAAACGGUGAGACUGGAGUCCUGGAGAGGGUCGUGGAAUUCCCGGUGUAGCGGUGAAAUGCGUAGAUAUCUGGAGGAACACCGGUGGCGAAGGCGGCAUCCUGGACCGGUAUUGACGCUGAGGCGCGAAAGCCAGGGGAGCAAACGGG
RNAcentral lists this ribosomal RNA (253 nucleotides) under uncultured bacterium. RNAcentral describes it as "partial 16S ribosomal RNA". It matches the Rfam family "Bacterial small subunit ribosomal RNA", at positions 524 to 776 of the family's 1533-position model. The record is from RNAcentral.